This is a long non-coding RNA of Wasmannia auropunctata (little fire ant), 432 nucleotides long. RefSeq lists it as uncharacterized. Lineage: Eukaryota; Metazoa; Arthropoda; Insecta; Hymenoptera; Formicidae. The record is from RefSeq and is a predicted model, not a curated record. The transcript has 2 exons.
UUUUAUAUUUUUUUUUAUUCCGAGAUACGAACACACACAGACAUGAGCUGACUCUUAUUUAGUGUGUGUGCGCUAGUCGACUGUCGACACAAGCUUUCCUUCUGCCCGCCCGCUACCAGCCUGUUUCCAGCCCGCUCGAGAGUGCCCAGCUUGAGAGCUGCCUGCAGUUAAUUUAUUACUAAUUAGUAAUUGUCGGAACUGUCCUUGAAGACUGGAACGAGCAAUGUCAGAACACGAGGAUAACCAAAAAGAAGACAAGAAAAAAGAAGAAAGAAGGAAAGAAUUAGAACAGAAAAAAUUAAAAGCAGAAAAAGAGUUAAGAUGUAUAGAGAGGGAAUUGGACGAAUACAUCUUAAACUCUGAAGAUGAAAUGGAUUUUUCAGAAGAAGAAACGGAUACAGAAAAAGAAAAUAAAAAGAUCCAACAAAUCGA